AGUACCAUGGUCUACGACGUUGAUCUGUUUGUAGGAGCGGGGCCUUAUGAAAGCACUAUAUAAGUACCAUGAACGGGUAAAGUUUCAUCAAAAUAAUAAUGAAGUUUGCUGUCCUUCUUGUGUUCGCUACUCUUCUGGUUGCCUCCCACGCAGCACAUGAGGCGUGCGGAAAUGGUUGUGCUGCUGCCGGCUCUAACGGCCACUCCUUCUGCAUCGACCUCUGCACCAACUGUACCGGCAACGUCAACUGCAACCACCACCUGGACGAGUGUGAAUGCCACCCCCAUGGUCUGUGAGUCUGGUAUGAAGUCAAGCUGGAGAAGUCAAGACUGUAAAAUAUAUAACGAAUAAACAUACCAAUAACA
Molecule: long non-coding RNA, 365 nt
Filed under: Haliotis rufescens (red abalone)
Lineage: Eukaryota; Metazoa; Mollusca; Gastropoda; Lepetellida; Haliotidae
Description: uncharacterized LOC124112541
Source: RNAcentral